UACGAAGGGGGCUAGCGUUGCUCGGAAUCACUGGGCGUAAAGCGCACGUAGGCGGCUUCUCAAGUCAGGGGUGAAAUCCUGGAGCUCAACUCCAGAACUGCCUUUGAUACUGAGGAGCUCGAGUCCGGGAGAGGUGAGUGGAACUGCGAGUGUAGAGGUGAAAUUCGUAGAUAUUCGCAAGAACACCAGUGGCGAAGGCGGACUCACUGGCCCGGUACUGACGCUGAGGUGCGAAAGCGUG
RNAcentral lists this ribosomal RNA (241 nucleotides) under uncultured bacterium. Its description in RNAcentral is "partial 16S ribosomal RNA". It matches the Rfam family "Bacterial small subunit ribosomal RNA", at positions 524 to 763 of the family's 1533-position model. The record is from RNAcentral.